RNAcentral lists this ribosomal RNA (492 nucleotides) under uncultured bacterium. RNAcentral's name for it is "partial 16S ribosomal RNA". It matches the Rfam family "Bacterial small subunit ribosomal RNA", at positions 29 to 507 of the family's 1533-position model. The record is from RNAcentral.
AGUGAACGCUGGCGGUAGGCCUAACGCAUGCAAGUCGAACGGCAGCACAGUAAGAGCUUGCUCUUACGGGUGGCGAGUGGCGGACGGGUGAGGGAUACAUCGGAAUCUACUUUUUCGUGGGGGAUAACGUAGGGAAACUUACGCUAAUACCGCAUACGACCUACGGGUGAAAGCAGGGGAUCUUCGGACCUUGCGCGAUUGAAUGAGCCGAUGUCGGAUUAGCUAGUUGGCGGGGUAAAGGCCCACCAAGGCGACGAUCCGUAGCUGGUCUGAGAGGAUGAUCAGCCACACUGGAACUGAGACACGGUCCAGACUCCUACGGGAGGCAGCAGUGGGGAAUAUUGGACAAUGGGCGCAAGCCUGAUCCAGCCAUACCGCGUGGGUGAAGAAGGCCUUCGGGUUGUAAAGCCCUUUUGUUGGGAAAGAAAAGCAGCAGGUUAAUACCCCGCUGUUCUGACGGUACCCAAAGAAUAAGCACCGGCUAACUUCGUG